CGGGGUGAGUAACGCGUGAGGAACCUGCCUCGAAGAGGGGGACAACAGUUGGAAACGACUGCUAAUACCGCAUAAGCCCACGGCUCGGCAUCGAGCAGAGGGAAAAGGAGUGAUCCGCUUUGAGAUGGCCUCGCGUCCGAUUAGCUAGUUGGUGAGGUAACGGCCCACCAAGGCGACGAUCGGUAGCCGGACUGAGAGGUUGAACGGCCACAUUGGGACUGAGACACGGCCCAG
This 234-nucleotide ribosomal RNA is filed under the name uncultured bacterium. Its description in RNAcentral is "partial 16S ribosomal RNA". It matches the Rfam family "Bacterial small subunit ribosomal RNA", at positions 104 to 334 of the family's 1533-position model. The record is from RNAcentral.